AUUGAACGCUGGCGGCAGGCCCAACACAUGCAAGUCGAGCGGAUGAAGGGAGCUUGCUCCUGGAUUCAGCGGCGGACGGGUGAGUAAUGCCUAGGAAUCUGCCUGGUAGUGGGGGAUAACGUCCGGAAACGGGCGCUAAUACCGCAUACGUCCUGAGGGAGAAAGUGGGGGAUCUUCGGACCUCACGCUAUCAGAUGAGCCUAGGUCGGAUUAGCUAGUUGGUGGGGUAAAGGCCUACCAAGGCGACGAUCCGUAACUGGUCUGAGAGGAUGAUCAGUCACACUGGAACUGAGACACGGUCCAGACUCCUACGGGAGGCAGCAGUGGGGAAUACUGGACAAUGGGCGAAAGCCUGAUCCAGCCAUGCCGCGUGUGUGAAGAAGGUCUUCGGAUUGUAAAGCACUUUAAGUUGGGAGGAAGGGCAGUAAGUUAAUACCUUGCUGUUUUGACGUUACCAACAGAAUAAGCACCGGCUAACUUCGUG
This 484-nucleotide ribosomal RNA is filed under the name uncultured bacterium. Its description in RNAcentral is "partial 16S ribosomal RNA". It matches the Rfam family "Bacterial small subunit ribosomal RNA", at positions 30 to 507 of the family's 1533-position model. The record is from RNAcentral.